UCCUGGUUGUAGAAGUAUCCUGCAUGGACUC
RNAcentral lists this non-coding RNA (31 nucleotides) under Mus musculus (house mouse). The record is from RNAcentral. Lineage: Eukaryota; Metazoa; Chordata; Mammalia; Rodentia; Muridae.